GGGCAAGAGUCUCAGGGUCACCGCGAGAUUCCAGCCUUGUGAUCUCGGACAGCUUCCCUAGUCUGAACUGGAAUGCGGACUCUUUGUCUGUAAAUGGUUAACAGGUCUACAGCCCCCGAGGGCCGCUUCCUGCCUCUCGCAGUGUGGCUGGGAGCAGAGGGCGCAGCCUGGGGUUCUGCCCCAUCCACUCACCACUUCACAGGCACCGCAGUCCCACUGGGACAGGAGCUUCGUGUGCAAAACUCCUUGCCAAGCCUCCAGCCUCUUCUCACUCACUCAUCGCCUCAGGCCCAGCUGCCCGGAUCUUCAGAACUGCCCGGAGUCUGGACUUCAAGGUCCUUUGACGUCACUUCCUGUAGGACAGCUUGUCCCCAAGCUGCAACUCUUCUACAGGGCCACUGUUUGGGAUUCAGAGCUGAGAGGAAACCUCAGAAGUCCCAGAUCUUUUCUGCUACCCAUCUACGGGAGGAGCAAUGGCCCCGCCAGCAGAUGUGGGGUGUGAGCUCUGCAGGCCUGGACAAUUCCCAGACCAGCCAUGGACGGGGUCCCUUGCCCCCAGCACCCGCUCGUUCCUGGCAGCCCUGUGACACCGUGGAGCAGGGCAACGGUCGGGAGUCCUGGCUGCAGGAGGUCCCUGUGAGCAUGAAGUCCUCAACGGGCAAGAAAAGCAGCUCCAGCAGGGUGUCAGAAGUCCACGCCCAAGGCAAGGAAGCAGUUCACAGCCGGGAAAACUCUUGCGGUCACAGCUUGUAAAAAAGGCAGCUUCAGAGCAAGCCCAAACGAACAAAACCAGGCAGUCUCACUGAACGCUAUCCCCCCCACCAGGAAGCCAGCCUGGGCUGCUGGAAGACAGCCGAAGUCUGUGCCCACGGGGACUCACUGGGAGGGAGCCAGACAGCUCCAAGUGCCCCAAAUCUACCCACAUUCCCAGCCAUCAAGCCUUCCCUUCUUUUGUUUUGUUUUGUUUUUUUGUUUGUUUGUUUGUUUCCGGUACCGGAGAUCGAACUCAUGACCUUGCACUUGCUGGGCAGGCGCUGUGCCACUGAGCUAAAUCCCUAGCCCCCAAGCCUUCCCUUCUCCAUAGAUGCCGGCCCUGGGUGUGCCCCCGACUGUGGGGGAUGGGGUCACUUAGCACUUUGGUUUUCAGAGGCAUUCUCUGCGGAAUCCCAGGACCUCGGGGAGGUACGCAAAGAGUUCUUAGGGACAGAGGGCGUGGCUGUGGUCCCCACCCUCACCAAACUGGAGCAGUUUUUUCCUGCUUAAAGUUUUGGAGCUUCCACUUAUAAUAUUUUUUGAAGGGCUCAGUCACUUAAAAGUAAAGGCUAUAGCUACUGAUUCCAGGCAGAUAGGGCAGUUACAAUUUCCCUGUUGCUCCUGCUAAGUACAACCCAAAUUCCUGUGCAUUGUAUGCAGAAUAAAUGUAGCCAGGCUCUGCAACCUGGAGAGAAGGCGGACACACCAGGGCCGGAAGGACACCAGGAAUUGCAGGGCGAUGAGUUCCUUGGGUUCUGUCUGUACUCUGUGCUUCUCAAAAUUGGAGCCGAGGAAGCUGCAACAGGCACAGGUUAAAAAAAAAAAAAAAAGUCCCACAUAAAGCAUGCUGUCUUUAGCCAAAGGGAAAUUUUAAAAGGAAAUCUAGCAAGACAGGAGCAUUGAACCUGCUUUCCUCGCGCCGGACCCCACAGGAAAACACUGCAGUCCCCACUCCCACCCACCCCAGCAGAGGUGACAAGGGAGCCUGCAUUUCCCUCCUGCUGAGCAGCACUGGGGUCCCCACUUCCCCUUCCCACAGAAGUGGGGUUCAGAGGAGCCUGGAGGAGAGUCAGGAUCUUUACCAUGGCUUCCUGGUAUGGGAUAACCACACCACGGUGUUAGUGAGGACCUCUGGGAUUCCUGUCCCACCUAGCAGUAGCGACGAGCACCUUCUCGCGUACCAAGGGGAUGAGUGGAGACCUGGGCCUGUUGCUGCAUCUCACGCCAACAAGGCAGCAUCCUCCCAGCCCACCCACAGCCGAUGGCAUCAAGAUGGGCCAACUGGACCCAAAGGCUUCAAAGAACAUCGCCAUAAAGAAAGAUAAACUGGAGUCAUUUGUAGGAAGAUGAAUGCUCCUUGAGACUAUAAUGUGAAGGGAAAUAAAUCAGACACACAAGCUUCAAUAUCGCAUCAUUUCUCCUAUGUGAGAAACCCAAAUUAUAAAUAGAGAGGAAAAUAAAAGAGAGAUAACGGGACGGAGGGAGACAGGUCUUUCUCAAAGGGGAAGGAGACCAAGGGAGGAGAGAGGGGGCAGAGGGGAGGGAAAGGGGGUGAAUAAGGAAUUAAGAUGCAUUGUGUGCAUGUGCCGACUCCACACAAGGGAUGUUAUCCUCAUGGACUCAGACACGUACUAAAAAAAAUA
Long non-coding RNA from Chinchilla lanigera (long-tailed chinchilla), 2396 nucleotides. The record is from Ensembl. Lineage: Eukaryota; Metazoa; Chordata; Mammalia; Rodentia; Chinchillidae.